This 253-nucleotide ribosomal RNA is filed under the name uncultured bacterium. RNAcentral's name for it is "partial 16S ribosomal RNA". It matches the Rfam family "Bacterial small subunit ribosomal RNA", at positions 524 to 776 of the family's 1533-position model. The record is from RNAcentral.
GACGAAGGAUGCAAGCGUUAUCCGGAUUCAUUGGGUUUAAAGGGUCCGUAGGCGGUUUUGUAAGUCAGUGGUGAAAGCCCAUCGCUCAACGGUGGAACGGCCAUUGAUACUGCAAGACUUGAAUUAUUAGGAAGUAACUAGAAUAUGUAGUGUAGCGGUGAAAUGCUUAGAGAUUACAUGGAAUACCAAUUGCGAAGGCAGGUUACUACUAAUUGAUUGACGCUGAUGGACGAAAGCGUGGGGAGCGAACAGG